GCCGCAGUGGUGGAAUUGGCAGACACGCAUGCCUUAGGAGCAUGUGUCUUAUGACGUGGGGGUUCGACUCCCUCCUGCGGCACCA
Molecule: transfer RNA, 85 nt
Filed under: Actinomycetes bacterium
Lineage: Bacteria; Bacillati; Actinomycetota; Actinomycetes
Also listed under: 1 other name
Description: Actinobacteria bacterium tRNA-Leu
Rfam family: tRNA
About the family: Transfer RNA (tRNA) molecules are approximately 80 nucleotides in length. Their secondary structure includes four short double-helical elements and three loops (D, anti-codon, and T loops). Further hydrogen bonds mediate the characteristic L-shaped molecular structure. tRNAs have two regions of fundamental functional importance: the anti-codon, which is responsible for specific mRNA codon recognition, and the 3' end, to which the tRNAs corresponding amino acid is attached (by aminoacyl-tRNA synthetases). tRNAs cope with the degeneracy of the genetic code in two manners: having more than one tRNA (with a specific anti-codon) for a particular amino acid; and 'wobble' base-pairing, i.e. permitting non-standard base-pairing at the 3rd anti-codon position.
Source: RNAcentral